AUUAGUUUGGCAGAAAAUUAUGUCUUAAAUUUAGAAUUUAAUAAUAUAUCUUUGGAUAUAUCUAAUA
RNAcentral lists this transfer RNA (67 nucleotides) under Leptocentrus albolineatus. Its description in RNAcentral is "tRNA-Leu". The record is from RNAcentral. Lineage: Eukaryota; Metazoa; Arthropoda; Insecta; Hemiptera; Membracidae. RNAcentral also lists the same sequence under 1 other name.